CUCGUCUGAGGGGACGCGAGGAUCGGCCUCGCCGCCGCUUCGUCCGGUGCUCGGGGCCCUGACAAGCUGCCUGAGGGGAGGCUCUUCUGAGCCGGACCUGGACCCUUACGAUUGCCGCCUGCUGCUCCUGCCUCCGGGUUUACAAGGGUUCCCGCCUUGCACCUCCCACCUCUGGACGUGCCUCCCCUUCUCUCCUCGCGUGUGGAGGGAGCCAGCGCUUAGGCCGGAGCGAGCCUGGGGGCGGCCGGCCGUGAAGGCUUCGCGGGGACCGAUUCGCCAUG
This 281-nucleotide non-coding RNA is filed under the name Felis catus (domestic cat). RNAcentral's name for it is "HIF-1 alpha IRES". It matches the Rfam family "HIF-1 alpha IRES". From Rfam's summary of the family: This family represents the hypoxia-inducible factor 1-alpha internal ribosome entry site. HIF-1a is a subunit of the HIF-1 transcription factor, which induces transcription of several genes involved in the cellular response to hypoxia. The record is from Rfam by way of RNAcentral. Lineage: Eukaryota; Metazoa; Chordata; Mammalia; Carnivora; Felidae.